GUAACAUAUAUCUUCCUCCUAUCGGACUACCGAGCUUCUUCAUUAGAUAGUUUUCUCCUACAACUUUUACUUUUUACAGGAUAUAUUGUAUCAGAAAUUGGAGUUACAAAAGAAGCCAAAUUCACGCUUGAUUGAUUGAAGUUUCAACUGAAGAUGACUCAAAAUGAUAUUGAGGAUAUGUUAGAUAACCUAACAAGGAUCAAGAGCAGAGGUCAUGAUCUGAACAGCAUCAAAAUUAAGACACUUGAAAUUGAUCUACGAUUUUUGAGUACUUUUCUCAAAUACCAUCAUCUUCUUUUGCCUGAUUCCUUUAUCAAAAUCGCAAAGAAGGCCCAACUGAUUGAUGAAAUGCUAGUUUCACAGUUACUGGAAUUCAUUGAAGGUAAUACCAACAUAAGGUACAAUUUUGAGUUGAAUCAUUCCCAUCUAUCAGAAUAUAUGGAUUACCUCGACAAGAAUCUAAAUGAUAUACAAAUGUACUUGGAAUUGGAUAUUGAGUGGACGAAUAAACGAAUCCUUCAGCUUAAGCUAUUUUUAAAGCAAGUGAAAAUCAUUCAAAAGAAAAUGUGAUUUUUGAGAUACUUAUAUGCCACGGAGAUAAAUAGUUACAUCGACCACGAGAAGCUGGAAGGUCUGGAGACUCGAAUUCAGUUCAUGGCUGACAAUGUGGGACAGUUCUGCCUUGCUCUUUGGCUUGAUAAGGUUAAAGAUUAUGCAGAAUCAGAUGACGUUAAAAAUGAUGUAGAUUCGGAUGAGGAUAAAGAUGAUAAAGAUGCAGAUGAAGAUACAUAUGAUACAUAUUCAUAUGAGUAUAUGCUGAUUCAAUUGACAUUAUAGAUUCAGAUGAAGAUACCGAUGAAUACAUAUUCAUAUGACAAUGAAGAUAGUGCCGAUUCAGAUGAGGAUGAAAAUGAUUUCGCGAGUAAAAGGACCCUCGUCUCGCCAUGAGUCCAUACAUAUAAAAUUUAUCGAAAUCGGAGUCCAAUUGCUCAUCCAAAUCAUCAUUUUAAAGUUCAAAACUCAAGCCCUAGUUCUUCAUUAAUUUUACCUAAUUUAAGAGAUUUUAGGCUUAAUUCUUCAAUAAAAAUGCGUAUUAGGACCACGAGACCUACCUCCAAUGAUCUCCCGAUGAAAUCCCCUUCAAAAUCCGUCAUUUAGCUCUCAAGGUAUCUUAAAAAUGGAGGAAAAAUAACCCUUGCUCUCGGAUGAAAUGUUUAAUUAAACUUCUCUGCCCAGGCCCGCUCUUCUAUGCGUUUGCACUCCUUCAGUGCGUUCGCAUAGAGCAAACAUUCCCUACCUCCAAAAUACACUGCGUUCGCACACCUGUCACACCUCCUUUUUGCGCGCACCACCCCGAAGGAUAAACGCAUAAGAGAGUAUUUUCAAUUUAAGUGACAA
This is a non-coding RNA of Nicotiana tabacum (common tobacco), 1398 nucleotides long. Lineage: Eukaryota; Viridiplantae; Streptophyta; Magnoliopsida; Solanales; Solanaceae. The record is from RefSeq and is a predicted model, not a curated record.